GUGGAGAUAGCUCAGUGGUAGAGCAUGUGCUUACCAUGCAGGAGGUCCUGGGUUCCAUCCCCACUCCCUCCA
This 72-nucleotide transfer RNA is filed under the name Camelus bactrianus (Bactrian camel). It matches the Rfam family "tRNA". Rfam says of the family: Transfer RNA (tRNA) molecules are approximately 80 nucleotides in length. The record is from Rfam by way of RNAcentral. Lineage: Eukaryota; Metazoa; Chordata; Mammalia; Artiodactyla; Camelidae. RNAcentral also lists the same sequence under 1 other name.